UACAGAGACUGCAAGCGUUAUUCGGAUUCACUGGGCGUAAAGGGUGCGCAGGCGGCCAAGUGUGUUAGGCGUGAAAGCCCGGGGCUUAACCCCGGAAUUGCACCUAAAACUACUUGGCUAGAGCAUUGGAGAGGGUAGCGGAAUUCACGGUGUAGCAGUGAAAUGCGUAGAUAUCGUGAGGAACACCAGAGGCGAAGGCGGCUACCUGGACAAUUGCUGACGCUCAGGCACGAGAGCGUGGGGAGCAAAAGGG
This 253-nucleotide ribosomal RNA is filed under the name uncultured bacterium. Its description in RNAcentral is "partial 16S ribosomal RNA". It matches the Rfam family "Bacterial small subunit ribosomal RNA", at positions 524 to 776 of the family's 1533-position model. The record is from RNAcentral.